UAGGAAUUCGGGUCGGGUGCGGGAUCGGGUUUAGGCUUGGGUUUUCAAGUUUAGGUUUAGGUUUAGGUUAGGGAGUUGAGAUUGAAAUUUGGUGUAGGUUUAGGUUUAGGGAUUUGAGAAUAGGUUAAGGUUUAGGUUUAAGAAAUCGGGUUUGGGUUCGGGAUCAUGUUUAGGCUUGGGUUUUCAAGUUUAGUUUUAGGUUUAGGUUAGGGAGUUGAGAUUGAGAUUUGGUGUAGGUUUAGGUUUAGGGAUUUGAGAAUAGGUUAAGGUUUAGGUUUAGGAAAUCGGGUUUAGGUUUGGGAUUGGGUUUAGGCUUGGGUUUUCAAGUUUAGGUUUAGGUUUAGGUUAGGGAGUUGAGAUUAGGAUUUGGUGUAGGUUUAGGUUUAGGGAUUUGAGAAUUGGUUAAGGUUUAGGUUUAGGAAAUCGGGUUUGGGUUCGGGAUCGUGUUUAAGCUUGGGUUUUCAAAUUUAGUUUUAGGUUUAGGUUAGGGAGUUGAGAAUGGGAUUUGGUGUAGGUUUAGGUUUAGGGAUUUGAGAAUAGGUUAAGGUUUAGGUUUAGGAAAUCGGUUUCGGGUUCAGGGUCAGGUUUAGGCUUGGGUUUUCAAGUUUAGGUUUAGGUUUAGGUUAGGGAGUUGAGAUAAGGAUUUGGUAUAGGUUUAGGUUUAGGGAUUUGAGGAUUGGUUAAGGUUUAGGUUUAGGAAAUCGGGUUCGGGAUCGGGUUUAGGCUUGGGUUUUCAAGUUUACGUUUAGGUUUAGGUUAGGGAGUUGAGAUUGGGAUUUGGUGUAGGUUUAGGUUUAGGGAUUUGAGAAUACAUUUAGGUUUAGGUUUAGGUUUAGGUUUUAGCUUAUAGGUUUAGGUUAUAGGUUUAGGUUUUGGUUUUAGGUUUAGGUUAUAAGUUUAGGUUAUAGGUUAUAGGUUAUAGGUUAAGGUUUAGGUUAUAGGUUUUGGUUUAGGUUAAGGUUAUAGGUUUUGGUUUAGGUUAAGGUUUAGGUUUUGGGUGUAGGUUUUGGUUAUAGGUUUAGGUUAUAGGUUAAGGUUAUAGGUUUAGGUUAGGUUUAGGUUUAGGUUAUAGGUUAUAGAUUUGGGAAUUGAGAAUAGGUUAAGGUUUAGGUUUAGGAAAUCGGGUUCGGGUUCGGUAUCGGGUUUAGGCUUGGGUUUUCAAGUUUAGGUUUACGUUUAGGUUAGGGAGUUGAGAUUGGGAUUAGGUGUAGGUUUAGGUUUAGGGAUUUAAGAAUACAUUUAGGUUUUAGGUUUAGGUUUAGGUUUAGGUUUUAGCUUAUAGGUUUAGGUUAUAGGUUUAGGUAUUGGUUUUAGGUUUAGGUUUAGGUUUAGGUUAAGGUUAUAAGUUUAGGCUAUAGGUUAUAGGUUAUAGGUUAAGGUUAUAGGUUUUGGUUUAGGAUAAGGUUUAGAUUUAGGUUUAGGUUAAGAUUAUAGGUUUAGGUUAUAGGUUUAGGUUAGGUUUAGGUUUAGGUUAUAGGUUAUAGGUUAUAGCUUUGGGAAUUGAGAAUAGGUUAAGGUUUAGGUUUAGGAAAUCGGGUUCGGGUUCGGGAUCGGGUUUAGGUUUUGUUUCGGGAUCGGGUUUAGGUUCGGGUUCGAGGUCGGGUUUAGGUUUGGGUUUAGGUUAGGGAUUUGAGAAUAGGUUUAGGUUACAAGUAUAUGUUUAGGUUAAGUUAUAGGUUGAGGUUUAGGGAAUUGAGUUUAGGUUAUAGGUUAUAGGUUAAAGUUUAGGUUAUAGGUUCAAGUUAUAGGUUAUAAUUAUAAGUUUAGGGUGUAGUUUUGGUUAAGGGUGUGGUCCCUGCAAAUACAGAUAUAAACACGGCCACCAGGGCAAAUGACCAGGCCCCUCCAAUGCUGUCCAUAGAAAAUGGAAAGCUUCAUCAUGGUCAUAACAGCGGUUCCCACCUUCUAGGGACCCCUGCUCAUCCAGAUAGCUCCGACGCACAU
This is a long non-coding RNA of Magnolia sinica, 1944 nucleotides long. RefSeq lists it as uncharacterized. The transcript is spliced from 3 exons. NCBI's taxonomy places the organism in Eukaryota, Viridiplantae, Streptophyta, Magnoliopsida, Magnoliales, Magnoliaceae. The record is from RefSeq and is a predicted model, not a curated record.